GAUGAACGCUGGCGGCGUGCUUAACACAUGCAAGUCGAACGGAAAGGCCCAAGCUUGCUUGGGUACUCGAUUGGCGAACGGGUGAGUAACACGUGGGUGAUCUGCCCUGCACUUCGGGAUAAGCCUUGGAAACUGGGUCUAAUACCGGAUAGGACCACAUUUUGGAUGGUGUGGUGGAAAGUUUUUCGGUGUGGGAUGGGCUCGCGGCCUAUCAGCUUGUUGGUGGGGUAAUGGCCUACCAAGGCGUUGACGGGUAGCCGGCCUGAGAGGGUGUACGGCCACAUUGGGACUGAGAUACGGCCCAGACUCCUACGGGAGGCAGCAGUGGGGAAUAUUGCACAAUGGGCGCACGCCUGAUGCAGCGACGCCGCGUGGGGGAUGACGGCCUUCGGGUUGUAAACUCCUUUCGCUAGGGACGAAGCGCAAGUGACGGUACCUGGAGAAGAAGCACCGGCUAACUACGUG
RNAcentral lists this ribosomal RNA (465 nucleotides) under uncultured bacterium. Its description in RNAcentral is "partial 16S ribosomal RNA". It matches the Rfam family "Bacterial small subunit ribosomal RNA", at positions 28 to 507 of the family's 1533-position model. The record is from RNAcentral.